This 465-nucleotide ribosomal RNA is filed under the name uncultured bacterium. RNAcentral's name for it is "partial 16S ribosomal RNA". It matches the Rfam family "Bacterial small subunit ribosomal RNA", at positions 28 to 507 of the family's 1533-position model. The record is from RNAcentral.
GACGAACGCUGGCGGCGUGCUUAACACAUGCCAGUCGAACGGAAAGGCCCCUUUGGGGGUACUCGAGUGGCGAACGGGUGAGUAACACGUGAGUAACCUGCCCUUGACUUCGGGAUAACUUCAGGAAACUGGGGCUAAUACCGGAUAGGAAUCCUUGCUGCAUGGUGGGGGUUGGAAAGCUUCGGCGGUUUUGGAUGGACUCGCGGCUUAUCAGCUUGUUUGUGGGGUAGUGGCUUACCAAGGCUUUGACGGGUAGCCGGCCUGAGAGGGCGACCGGCCACAUUGGGACUGAGAUAAGGCCCAGACUCCUACGGGAGGCAGCAGUGGGGAAUAUUGCACAAUGGGCGGAAGCCUGAUGCAGCAACGCCGCGUGCGGGAUGACGGCCUUCGGGUUGUAAACCGCUUUCAGCAGGGGCGAAGCUUGUGGUGACGGUACCUGCAGAAGAAGCACCGGCUAACUACGUG